UCUCUCUCUCUCUCUCUCUCUCUCUCUCUCUCUCUCUCUCUCUCUCUCUCUCUCUCUCUCUCUCUCUCUCUCUCUCUCUCUCACCCUCAAUCUCUCCCUCCCUUCCUCACACCAUUCCCUUUAAGACAGCUUCCCUCACACCCUAUCUCACCAGCACCAUUCCCUUUAUUCCCCCAGCACCACCCACUCUCUCCCCUCACCCCAGCACACCCCUCUUCUCUCUCUUCCUAACACUCAUUCCUCAUUACCAGGAUGGGGACAGUACCUCCUCGUCACCCAGGUUUCGGAGGGGGGGGGAGGGGUGCGGCAGGACCAGACAGACUUGGAGUGGUUUGUGUGGAUCCCCAUCAUGCGUGCCUAUGCCCCCUUCGACCUGCUUCAUGUCAUGCUGGCUCAGACUGUCCGCAGGUUCUGGCCUCAGAUACGCAUGCACACACGCACGCACGCACGCACGCACGCACGCAAAGUGAUAGUUAUUACGUGUGGAAAGAGAAUUGCGUGUUCUGCUACUUCUUCUAAUACUACUAUUACUACUACUGCCGUGAAGAGAAAGCCUUCAGGUUGUUGAGAAAUGAGCCAAGAAUCUUCAGGGAGACCGCAUCAGUAUGGUCAACGCUAACACCUAUAGAUAUGUGAGUAG
This is a long non-coding RNA of Scylla paramamosain (green mud crab), 640 nucleotides long. RefSeq lists it as uncharacterized. The record is from RefSeq and is a predicted model, not a curated record. NCBI's taxonomy places the organism in Eukaryota, Metazoa, Arthropoda, Malacostraca, Decapoda, Portunidae. The transcript has 3 exons.